GGAGAGAGAGUGCCUGCGGGUGGAGAAAGGUCCAGUCGGGUGGAAAGCACCGAGGGCCCCAGGUGCAAUGAGGAGGAAGAAAGAAGGUCCUAAUAUUUAAACGCCUGAAAAACAAGUGGUUAUUGUUUUUCUUGGGAAAUGGAAGGCCUGGAAAGCGGAACUUGGGUUCAGUGGGCCGGGCAAUAGCAAUAAGGCGGCAGUAAAUUGCAACCAAAGUCAAGAAACUCAAGCUCCUAAUUUCGGGAAAAUAUACACUGGGUUUAAAGGAAUAGCAUAGGACAUGCUGCCUAAUUUUUGACCAGUAUCUCUUAUUUUUGGUAACCUCUGAAGAAAACACCUACUACUUCGUUUUGAAAAUAGACUUUCCUUGUGAAGCUAUUAAAAUGCUCACUCACGGACACUGAAUAAAAUUCCAUUCUAUGGAUGUACCACAGUUUGUCCAUUCACCUAUUUGACGGACAUCUUGGUUGAUUCCAAGUUUGGACAAUUAUAAAUAAAGCUGCUAUAAAUAUCCACGUGCAGGUUUUUGUAUGGACAUAAAUUUUCAUCUCAUUUGGGUAAAUACCAAGGAGCGCAACUGCUGAAUCUUAAGGCUAUAUUAAUAGUGAUACUAAAUAGUGGGCUGAAUUGUGCCCCAGCGAAAGAUAAGGCCACAUCCUAAUCCAGAGAACCUGUGGCUAUUACCUUAUAAGGUGGACCCUAAAUCCAGUGACAAGUGUUCUUAUAAGAGUGAGACGAAGGAAGAUAACAGACAGAAAAGGAGGAGGCAGUGUGACCACAGAGGCAGAGACUGGAGUGAUGCAGCUAUGAGUCAAGAAAUGCCAAGAGCCUCCAGAAGCUGGAAGAGGCAGAAACUGAUUCCUCCUCUACAGCCUCCAGAGGGACUGCAGCCCUGCUGACGCCUUGAUUUCAGAAUUCUGGCCUCCAAAACUACAGGAGAAUAAAUUUUGUUGUUUUAAGCCACCCAGUUUGUAGUAAUUUGUUACAGCAGCCACAGGAAACUAAUACACCAGGUCAGAUUGGCAGGGGAGAUAUUCUUCACGUAACAUGAAGAUUAACCCUGAGCUAGCAGAAG
This 1075-nucleotide long non-coding RNA is filed under the name Equus asinus (donkey). RNAcentral's name for it is "lncRNA (ENSEASG00005037161.1)". Lineage: Eukaryota; Metazoa; Chordata; Mammalia; Perissodactyla; Equidae. The record is from RNAcentral.